RNAcentral lists this ribosomal RNA (372 nucleotides) under uncultured organism. Its description in RNAcentral is "partial 16S ribosomal RNA". It matches the Rfam family "Bacterial small subunit ribosomal RNA", at positions 527 to 896 of the family's 1533-position model. The record is from RNAcentral.
GUAGGUGGCAAGCGUUGUCCGGAAUUAUUGGGCGUAAAGCGCGCGCAGGCGGUUCUUUAAGUCUGAUGUGAAAGCCCACGGCUCAACCGUGGAGGGUCAUUGGAAUCUGGAGAACUUGAGUACAGAAGAGGAAAGCGGAAUUCCACGUGUAGCGGUGAAAUGCGUAGAGAUGUGGAGGAACACCAGUGGCGAAGGCGGCUUUCUGGUCUGUAACUGACGCUGAGGCUCGAAAGCGUGGGGGAGCAAACAGGAUUAGAUACCCUGGUAGUCCACGCCGUAAACGAUGAGUGCUAAGUGUUAGGGGGUUUCCGCCCCUUAGUGCUGCAGCUAACGCAUUAAGCACUCCCGCCUGGGAGUACGGCCGCAAGGCUG